This 405-nucleotide ribosomal RNA is filed under the name Haliclona fulva. RNAcentral describes it as "eukaryotic LSU rRNA". It matches the Rfam family "Eukaryotic large subunit ribosomal RNA", at positions 1 to 365 of the family's 3401-position model. Lineage: Eukaryota; Metazoa; Porifera; Demospongiae; Haplosclerida; Chalinidae. The record is from RNAcentral.
NACGACCUCAGAUCGAGCGAGGUUCACCCGCUGAACUUAAGCAUAUCAAUAAGCGCAGAAGAGAAACCAACAGGGAUUCCCUCAGUAACGGCGAGCGAAGUGGGAAGAUUGCCCAGGUCUGAAAUCUCCGGUCAGGCUUCGAGUUGUUGGCCGGCGAAUUGUGGUCUGGAGAGUCGAACUGUCCCGAUCCACUGCUCCUCUUGUUUGGGCCCGAAGUCGACUUGGAACGGCGUGCCUGAGAGGGUGAGAGCCCNGUAGGGCAAGGAAACCGGGAGCGGCGGGACGAGGGUUCGUACUCGUAGAGUCGGGUUGUUUGGGAUUGCAGCCCCAAGCGGGUGGUAGACUCCAUCCAAGGCUGAAUACAGGUGCGAGACCGAUAGCGGACAAGUACCGUGAGGGAAAGNN